This 222-nucleotide long non-coding RNA is filed under the name Manacus vitellinus (golden-collared manakin). RNAcentral's name for it is "lncRNA (ENSMVIG00005003678.1)". The record is from RNAcentral. Lineage: Eukaryota; Metazoa; Chordata; Aves; Passeriformes; Pipridae.
UCGGUAUGCAAAGGAUGCAGAGGAGGAGGACGUCCUGCAUGGCUGGCUCCAAAAAACAGGCACGGAUUUCUGAAUGAACACAGAGACCGGUGUGUCGCGGUGUGUCAGGCUGCUAAAUCUGCUGCAGCAGUAACGCUGGCAGACGUGGACAAAGGCUCUGCUUUGGAGGAUGCAGAAAUGAGACACAUCGCAGGCUACUGCUGUCCAUCAAAGCACUGAAAA